AUGAUACAUUGGCCGGUACAGAGGGUUGCGUUACCUUGAUUUGGAACGAAUCCCUUUUUGAAGGGUUUCAGUUCGGAUCGGGGUCUGCAACUCGACCCCGUGAAGUUGGAGUCGCUAGUAAUCGCAGAUCAGCAACGCUGCGGUGAAUACGUUCCCGGGCCUUGUACACACCGCCCGUCACGUCAUGAAAGUCGGUAACACCCGAAGCCGGUGGCCUAACCCUUGUGGAGGGAGCCGUCGAAUGGUGGA
Molecule: ribosomal RNA, 249 nt
Filed under: Nocardia seriolae
Lineage: Bacteria; Bacillati; Actinomycetota; Actinomycetes; Mycobacteriales; Nocardiaceae
Description: partial 16S ribosomal RNA
Rfam family: Bacterial small subunit ribosomal RNA
Source: RNAcentral